Molecule: transfer RNA, 87 nt
Filed under: Candidatus Yanofskybacteria bacterium RIFCSPHIGHO2_02_FULL_41_11
Lineage: Bacteria; Candidatus Yanofskyibacteriota
Description: tRNA-Leu
Rfam family: tRNA
About the family: Transfer RNA (tRNA) molecules are approximately 80 nucleotides in length.
Source: RNAcentral
GCCCGAGUGGCGGAAUUGGCAUACGCGCACGACUCAAAAUCGUGUGUCCUUACGGACUUGUGGGUUCAACUCCCACCUCGGGCACAA